GUGGCCGAGUGGUUAAAGGCAGCAGACUGUAAAUCUGCCGACAUUGUCUACGUUGGUUCAAAUUCAACCCUGUGCACCA
Molecule: transfer RNA, 79 nt
Filed under: Caudoviricetes sp.
Lineage: Duplodnaviria; Heunggongvirae; Uroviricota; Caudoviricetes
Description: tRNA-Tyr
Rfam family: tRNA
About the family: Transfer RNA (tRNA) molecules are approximately 80 nucleotides in length. Their secondary structure includes four short double-helical elements and three loops (D, anti-codon, and T loops).
Source: RNAcentral